UACGCAGGGUGCGAGCGUUGUCCGGAAUUAUUGGGCGUAAAGAGUUCGUAGGCGGUCUGUCGCGUCCGUUGUGAAAGCCCAGGGCUCAACCCUGGGUCUGCAGUGGAUACGGGCAGACUAGAGUCAGGUAGGGGAGAACGGAAUUCCUGGUGUAGCGGUGAAAUGCGCAGAUAUCAGGAGGAACACCAAUAGCGAAGGCAGCUCGCUGGGACGGUACUGACGCUAAGGCGCGAAAGCGUGGGGAGCGAACAGG
RNAcentral lists this ribosomal RNA (253 nucleotides) under uncultured bacterium. RNAcentral's name for it is "partial 16S ribosomal RNA". It matches the Rfam family "Bacterial small subunit ribosomal RNA", at positions 524 to 776 of the family's 1533-position model. The record is from RNAcentral.